Molecule: long non-coding RNA, 2052 nt
Filed under: Homo sapiens (human)
Lineage: Eukaryota; Metazoa; Chordata; Mammalia; Primates; Hominidae
Description: HSALNT0178690
Source: RNAcentral
AAACCUCCCGCCCACCUUUUCUUUAGACCCGCGUCUCACCCCGGGCCGGAAGGGCUCCUGCGCAGGCGUUUGUAGCCACUUUUAAGUUUUAUCAGCUAGUUCAUGCUUGCGUUGAAAGAGUGGUCGUUUGCGCUGGGUCAUCACUGUGUAGUAUUGGGGAUACUUAGGUGAGAAAAAAACUUAACGCUAGAGACGUUCACGCACUAGUGGAGAAGCCAGGAUUGUUGCCCUAGAGUUACAGUAGAUAAAAGUACCUCAGAGAACUGCGGGGGCUCCCAACCUGGACGCUUGCACCGGAGUAUUAAAUCCAGCUAGAGAAUGGCAUGUGCAAAGAUACAGAGUUCUGUAAACCAGAAAUCUAAAAUCAGUCACUGGAGUAAAGUCAAGGUGUCAUUUGGAUUGGUUGCUUCCAGAGGCUCUGCAGGGAGAUUGUUUUUCUUGUCUUUUUCAGCUUUUAGAAGUUGCCUGCAUUCCUUGGCCCCUUCCUCACAUCAUUCCAACCAACUUCCAUCCUUACAAUCGAUUACUUUCCUGUAAUAGCUACAGUCAAAUGGGCAGCUGAAGAUGAUGAUGAUGAUGAUCUUGACACCGAGAAGCAGAAGACCAAUGAAGAUGACCAGACAGCAAAAAAGGAUAAGUUAAAAGAAGGUAAAAGAAGGCCACUCGUACUUGCUGUCUCAGUAUCUAAAGGUGGUCACCUUCCAGUAGAGAGGCCCACCCACUGCAGACCGUGCCACCGAAGGUGACAUGCACUUUCUGCCACCCAUCCAAAACCGUAACGUGAAUCUGCAACAGGAGAGGAAAGAAGAACCAAAACUUCCAAGGCCUUGCAUUUUUUCUUAAAAGCAUUUUUUUUUUUUUUUGGAGAUGGAGUCUCACUCUAUUGCCUGGAGUGCAGUGGCGUAAUUUCGGCUCACUGAAGCCUCUGCUUCCCGGGUUUAAGAAAUUCUCUGCCUCAGCCUCCCAAGUAGCUGGGAUUACAGGCACAUGCCACCACACCUGUCUAAUUUUUGUAUUUUUAGGAGAGACAGGGUUUCACCGUGUUGGCCAGGCUGGUCUUGAACUCCUGACCUCGUGAUCCACCUGCCUUGGCCUCCCAAAGUGCUGGGAUUACAGGCCUGAGCCACUGCACCUAGCCAAAAGCAUUUUUUAAAGAAAAAUUGGUCUAUAUUUUUUGUUUCUACUUUAUAUCUUUGUACAUAUUUUUAGAGUGCAGGCAUUUUUAAUAAUCUUGGAUGACCAAAGCAGCUUUCAGAAUGUUCUUUGCCCAACUUCUGACUUUACUUGUAGUGUGACCAUGUUCAUUAGAAUCUCAAAGGAGGAAGAAAAGAAAAAACAAACUUGUAAAAAAUGAAAAAUAGAUCUGGCGAGGUGAUUCACGGCUGUAAGCCCAGCACUUUGAGAGGCUAAGGCGGGUGGAUCACCUGAGGUCAGGAGUUCGAGACCAGCCUGGCCAACAUGGUGAAAUCCUAUCUCUACUAAAUAUACAAAAAUUAGCCAGGUGUGGUGGUGGGUGCCUGUAGUCCCAGCUACUCAGGAGGCUGAGGCAGGAGAAUCUGGAACCCCGGAGGCAGAGGUUGCAGUGAGCCGAGAUCGCACCAUUGCACUCCAGCCUGGGCGACAGAGUGAGACUAUCUGAAAAAAAGCAAAAAUAGGCCAGGCAUGGUGGCUCAUGCCUUGAUCCCAGCACUUUGGUAAGCCUAGGCAGGUGGAUCACUUGAGGUCAGGGGUUCGAGACCAGCUUAGCCAACAUGGUGAAAACCUGUCUCUACUGAAAAUACAAAAAUUAGCCAGGCGUGGUGGUGGGUACCUGUAAUCCCAGCUACGCGGGAGGCUGAGGCAUGAGAAUUGCUUGAACUCAGGAGGCGGAGGUUGCAGUGAGCAGCAGUCAUGCCAUUGCACUCCAGCCUGGUGACAGAGUAAGACUCUGUCUCAAAAAUAAAUAAAUGCAAAAACAACAAAUCUUAUUUUUUCAGCCUGUUCGAUGUAUGUGUGAAACAAUGUUGUCCAACAAUAAACGGGAAUCUUAUUUUUCUGAGGUUUUUUCCCCUA